UGGAAACCUAGGGUAACUGUCAUUUCUGUGAAGCUUGGCUUGUGCUCUGGACGCAUACUUGGAUAUAUCUGAAGUUAAUCACCUUUGCUCUUAUCUACAGGUUUUGAAAUGGUUAAGAGUGCUGUAGCAGAAAAGGCCUUCUAUGGGAAGGGCACGCCGGAGACUUUCAUGACUGACAACUGCGAUGCCAUGAGGAAAGCCCUAGCAGCAACCUGGCCUGGAGCUCGACAGUUCCUCUGCAUUUUUCAUUUUCUACAACAAGUAUGGAGGUGGCUAUUGGACUCGAGACACGAAAUCAAGAAAGAAGAUCGCCAGGAACUUAUGACUAUAGUGAAAAGCCUCGUAUAUUCAGCAACGAAGAACGAUUUAUUCACGUCAUGGGGAAAAUUCAAGGCUAAUCCUCUUUCGGAGAAGUAUCCUAACUUUAGAAGCUAUCUAGGCUCACUGAUGGAAAGGAGUGACGAGUGGGCGAUAACGUUCAGGGCAGGUGCGGUGCUACGUGGACAUCACACCAACAACUUCUGUGAGGCAACAAUGUGCAUCAUUAAGGAAGUCGUUCUUAAUAGAUGCAAGGCAUACAACGCAACGCAGCUGAUCAUUUUCAUGGCCGAAAUCUUUGACAGCUACAUGAAGAAGAGGCUGGUGGACGUUGCGCUUGGCAGACGGAG
Molecule: long non-coding RNA, 668 nt
Organism: Eriocheir sinensis (Chinese mitten crab)
Lineage: Eukaryota; Metazoa; Arthropoda; Malacostraca; Decapoda; Varunidae
Exons: 3
Source: RefSeq, a predicted model, not a curated record